Molecule: long non-coding RNA, 1273 nt
Filed under: Capsicum annuum
Lineage: Eukaryota; Viridiplantae; Streptophyta; Magnoliopsida; Solanales; Solanaceae
Description: long non-coding RNA (CANN_LNC021523)
Source: RNAcentral
CAAUAAAAAUACAUAAAACAAAAACCAAACACACAAAACAAGAAUUCGAAACAAACUAAUGUCCAGACCGAUUAUAUAGUCCCAAAAAUAAAAUAUACGAAAAUGUAAACCUAAUCUAUCCUAGACUAGUACUAAGCUAGAGCUCCAUCCGACGUCCCGAGCCUUCAUCACGAACGGUCUUCAAGUACAAAAUCUCUUAGGACAUUUUCUGAAUAUAUAAAUACAAAUACCUCAAGACAUUCUUCAACCAAAUGAAUACAAUUUUGAUUUAAGUGCAAUAAAAGAAAACCCAUUCAACAAGCAUCCAAAUAUUCAACAAAUUAUAAAAUCUUAUAGUUUGCCUACCCAAAAUUCUAUGAUUUGCCUAUUAAUUUUUUACCUAAUCAUGAUACUAUCGAAUGAGAAUAAAUUGAUAAUUAUUAUACAUAAAUAACAAUAACGGUGAAUUAAAAUAACCAAUUUAUUCAAUUUUUAUCUAUUUUGAAUUCUUAUCAUCAAUUUCAUUCUCAACCACAUAAUGAACCAAUUUCAAUAUGAAAUCAACCAUUCAAGCCACCACAAUUGAGGUUAUUCAACCACACUUAUCAAAAUCAAAUCAUCAACCACAUACGAGUCAGGCAACCAUAUAUGAGUCACAUAAUCAAAAAAUUAACUCACCACGUUAAGAUAAAAUGAUAAAGAAAUAGAGUUGAAAGAUUGGACCUUAGAUAAAUAAGAUCUAUAUUUUUUAUAAUAAUGAGAUUACGAAGCCUAAUCAAAAACUCGAUUGAAAUCCUCGAAAGGAAAUCCUCAGCAAUGAACAAAUCAACACGGUAUCGAAAACGACAAACCUGAAUAGAUUUAAAACCAAUAGAAAAUCUCAAGCGAAUGGACGAAUUACUGGAUUUUCGAUUGUUGAUUUAUAGUUUCAUAGAGAAAAUGCAUCCCGCUGGAUGGGUUUUUUGACGGGAGAGGAUUUUCGAUAUUUGGGUAGAGCUUUUUUAUGGGUUUUCGAUGGUUCUCCAACGGGGUCGAUGGAAAAUGGAUCUAUUUAGUGGGAUGGAUUUUGAUGGGUUUUGGGAUGGGGAGAGGGUCGGUUUUUCGGUGGAGUUUUUGUGUUGGUUACUGUAUUUAAUCAAAUUUGGGAGUGGUGACCGAAUUUUGUGACGGAGCGACAAUUCCGGUGAAGUUUCGGUGGAAAGAUCUGAACAAAAUUUUUUUUACCCCUUUUUCGUUCACUCGUCUCUAUGUCUCUUGUGUAUGAUUUUGUAUUCAUCAUUAAUGAAAUGGACCN